GUGAGGAAUUUUCCGCAAUGGGCGAAAGCCUGACGGAGCAAUGCCGCGUGAAGGAUGAAGGCCUAUGGGUUGUAAACUUCUUUUCUUAGAGAAGAAUAUUGACGGUAUCUGAGGAAUAAGCAUCGGCUAACUCUGUGCCAGCAGCCGCGGUAAGACAGAGGAUGCAAGCGUUAGCCGGAAUGAUUGGGCGUAAAGCGUCUGUAGGUGGCUUCAAAAGUCUCCUGUCAAAGAUCAGGGCUUAACCCUGGGCCGGCAGGAGAAAAUCUGAGGCUAGUGUUUGGUAGGUGAAGAGGGAAUACCCGGUGGAGCGGUGAAAAGCGUAGAGAUCGGGAGGAACACCAAAGGCGAAAGCACUCUGCUGGGCCACAACUGACACUGAGAGACGAAAGCGAGGGGAGCAAAAGGGAUUAGAUACCCCUGUAGUCC
Molecule: ribosomal RNA, 426 nt
Filed under: uncultured bacterium
Lineage: Bacteria
Description: partial 16S ribosomal RNA
Rfam family: Bacterial small subunit ribosomal RNA
Source: RNAcentral